AGGAACGUCCCGACCAUACUCCGAGAACGUCAGAAACUAAGAUCACGGAAGCGUUUUUUACAAACUGCCACCGACUACGCGAGCAAUGUUCGCUGGUGGACGUCCGUGUUUUUUACUGUGACUAAAGAAGUGCGACCAAGGCAGUCCAUCGACAUGAAUUAGAAAGCAUGGAUAACAAAGCAGCAGCCUAUGAGCUACCGUUUAGGCUUUUGUUGGUUUUAAAGGUUCGUGGGAGAUUACGGGCGUGUAGGACCGGCGUUGGGGGUUUUCCAAAAUCCCCGCGUCUCCUCCUGGCAUCGGAAACGGUGCUUGCGGGGCCUGCUUCGCUCAGGAAUGAAGGAGGGUUGCUCGGGGGAAAACGUACUUGGGCGUGAGAGGUGAAAUUCUUAGACCGCCCAAAGACGAACUACAGCGAAGGCAUUUUCCAAGGAUACCUUCCUCAAUCAAGAACCAAAGUGUGGGGAUCGAAGAUGAUUAGAGACCAUUGUAGUCCACACCACAAACGAUGACCCCCAUGAAUUGGGGAGUUUUUGCGGAGGCGCCUCCCGGCUUGUCCGGG
This 559-nucleotide ribosomal RNA is filed under the name uncultured marine eukaryote. Its description in RNAcentral is "SSU rRNA". It matches the Rfam family "Eukaryotic small subunit ribosomal RNA", at positions 641 to 1093 of the family's 1831-position model. The record is from RNAcentral.